GCAGUACGAGGAUCCGGCAUAUCAGGUUACACAUCUAAAUUUUAUUUUUAUAGUUUAAUGACUUAAUCAUUUAUUCUUAAAUUAAAUUUUUUAUCUAAUUUUACUGAUAAUUUUACAGAGACAAUGUGCCCAGAAUGCGACGAAUUGGGCAUGACAGACCAUGCCGCAUUGUGGGGGUUCGAGAUCGUUUGCUCGUCACAUGGAGCACAUGAUAGGUAAUUUUUAAUUUCUAAUUAGCAUAUAAUUAUCUAGUUAUUUAAAUUUUUUUAAUUAAUUCUCAAAUUGUAGAGAAAUACUGAGAGUGGUGAACUUCCUGAUAGGAUCGAUAUCUACCAGCAGACCCACC
This 346-nucleotide long non-coding RNA is filed under the name Elaeis guineensis (African oil palm). RNAcentral describes it as "long non-coding RNA (EGUI_LNC009616)". The record is from RNAcentral. Lineage: Eukaryota; Viridiplantae; Streptophyta; Magnoliopsida; Arecales; Arecaceae.